Long non-coding RNA from Callithrix jacchus (white-tufted-ear marmoset), 408 nucleotides. RefSeq lists it as uncharacterized. The record is from RefSeq and is a predicted model, not a curated record. Lineage: Eukaryota; Metazoa; Chordata; Mammalia; Primates; Cebidae.
GAUCUUGUUAUACUUCCCAGGCUGGUCUGAAACUCCUGGACUGAAGUGAUCCUCCUGCCUCAGCCUCCUGAGAAGCUAGGAAUACAGGACUUUUUCUGGAAGGAAAACAAUCUAUUGAGUUGUACCACCUGGCAGGCAGAAUAUGUUUUAGACCUGAUGUGACUUUUUGGAGACCUAGAAUCUGUUGGAACCAAAGGUCACGCUAUGGUGGGGAAACAAAUACCAACAACCAUCACAAUACCGAGUGGUACAUGUUCAUGUACGUGUGUGCAAAGUGCUGUCAAAUCACGAAAGAAUGAACACCUGACACUGCCUAGGGCUGGAUCAGAGGAGGUUUGCCAAGAAAGUAACAGACACAAUUUUUCUUAAAGGAUUUUUGCAGAAGAAAACCCAGGAAAAGAAUGCUAU